AGCCUCAUUCUAGAUUAGAGUGGGCACUGUUGAUUGGUGUCCAAAAUUGGUCGGUGUGGCUGAAAUUGAGAUACAGGGAAUGCUUCCAUCACAAUAAAUGUUUACAUUGGUGACAGUGAGACAUUUUGGCUAAU
Molecule: small nucleolar RNA, 134 nt
Organism: Cavia porcellus (domestic guinea pig)
Lineage: Eukaryota; Metazoa; Chordata; Mammalia; Rodentia; Caviidae
Rfam family: Small nucleolar RNA SNORA1
About the family: ACA1 is a member of the H/ACA class of snoRNA that guide the sites of modification of uridines to pseudouridines.
Source: Rfam